This is a transfer RNA of Felis catus (domestic cat), 85 nucleotides long. It matches the Rfam family "tRNA". From Rfam's summary of the family: Transfer RNA (tRNA) molecules are approximately 80 nucleotides in length. Their secondary structure includes four short double-helical elements and three loops (D, anti-codon, and T loops). The record is from Rfam. Lineage: Eukaryota; Metazoa; Chordata; Mammalia; Carnivora; Felidae.
GCCUGGGUGGCUCAGUCGGUUGAGCAUCCGACUUCGGCUCGGGUCAUGAUCUCACGGUCUGCGAGUUCGAGCCCCGCGUCAGGCU